This is a long non-coding RNA of Hibiscus syriacus, 183 nucleotides long. RefSeq lists it as uncharacterized. The transcript has 3 exons. The record is from RefSeq and is a predicted model, not a curated record. Lineage: Eukaryota; Viridiplantae; Streptophyta; Magnoliopsida; Malvales; Malvaceae.
UCCGACCUGUGACAUCGAGAGUUUGGCACCUAAUUUUACCCCUCCUCGUUCAAUUUCUGCAGCAGAAGUAGAUGAUAGUCUUGCAAAUCAGUUUCAACGUGACAUGCAGCUUCAGCAUGAUGCUCUUCUCCAAUCCUUUACCGUCAAACAGACUAAGGAAGCAUUUGAUGUAGCAAGAAACAA